Long non-coding RNA from Zea mays, 3985 nucleotides. RefSeq lists it as uncharacterized. The record is from RefSeq and is a predicted model, not a curated record. The transcript has 12 exons. Lineage: Eukaryota; Viridiplantae; Streptophyta; Magnoliopsida; Poales; Poaceae.
CUCGUCCGAUCCUCUUCCUCUCCCGCAGUCUCCGAUCCGCCCGGCUUCACCAAAUCCACCCCUCCCCACGCAACAGCCACCGACCGUGUUCGCCGCCCCACCUCCCCGCCUGGCGUCCGUGUUGCUCGCCGCCCUGGAAGGGACGCGUCCACAAGAGGCAAGGCUGUGCCCCCGCCCGCCCCCGCGCAACCGCCGCCAUCCAUCUCCCUCUCUGCCCUGCGUCCGCGAUGCUCGCCACGUCUGCUGCUCCCCGGUCCCCGACGCUCGCUUCCCCGGCCAUCGUGGUGGAGCCCCCUCCCACCCUGUGUCGAUGGCAAAGUUGUACGUGCAGGUGGUGCCGCCCCCCGGAUCUAAACAGGAACACUGAGUAGUUCAUGUACCCCGAGGUCUGGACCGCCUACAUCAUCUUCUUUUGCUGGACCCUCGCUCUCUCCGUCUUUGGGUGCGCCCCCAACAUUGGCAUGGACGCUCGUCAACCUUGGCCAAUUUGCAAGGCUGGAAUGGGGUUUCAGCUGUUCCUAUUAAUGUUAGCAUGAGGAGCAUCUUACUGAAGCGGCUCCAUGUUUGGUCGUCUACACCAGGCAGCAGAGCAGAUUCGCCCCUGCUGAAAACGCACUCGAUGGCGUCCGCGACGGGGGUUUCCUCCUCGGAGAUGGCGGUGGACCACGCGACGGGGCCGGGCGCCGUGGAGAAGCCGCGGUUCGAUGCUCUGACGCCGAAUGAGAUGAGCGGCGGGAGGCCCCAAUUCCGGAAAGUGCCCAUGCCGCAGCACCGGUUCGCGCCGCUCAAGCGAUGCUGGAUGGAAAUCUACAAACCCGUAUACGAGCACAUGAAGAUCGAUAUACGCAUGAACCUCAAGGUACUGGACUGGAGUCUACCCAUAUUGGGCUUUCUUGUUUUAUGUGAAUGAGCUUUUCGUGCUCUAUUCCUUGCAAGAACCAUAGAUUGUAUACUUCAGAUCGCCGUCAAGAAGCUCAACCCGGAGAGCGUCCAGGGCCUGCAGAGUGGCAGGAUAACAUGGAGAACUUCAACCCUUUCGGUGAGAAUGGAGAGUAGGGUACAGGGUAAGUACAACUUCAUUUAAGUAUUUUCUGUUCUCUCCCCUCGACUUCUCGCUUUGUCGUCGUCUCUACGAGUGCUUUCGCGAGGGGAGGCGGCGAUAUAUAUCACUGAGUACGAGGGGAGGGGUGGGACAUCAUGGUGUGUGGGUUUGGCCGUGAAUGUUCUAGGAGUUGAUGAAGAUGUUAGUUCUCACCACUGAAUUGUUUGGCCAAGGUUGUUUAUUCUUUUGUCUCACGUGUUUGGCCCGUGCUCGCAGGUCACCAUAGAAUGUUCUGGGCUCUUCAGUACUCCUGUACUAACAACGGUAAUCCAAUUGCAUCGGUUAUUAAAUUAGUUGGUAAGCGAUUAGGUUAUAAUAAAUAACUAGCCAACAUGUUCACAAUAUCAUCAUUUGACAUAGAUGGUUCUAAUUAUAGAAGCACGAGUCAUAUAAGUCCGGAUUAUAUACAAAAUACAAGAAAUAUUGCCCUAAUACAUUUUGGACUAUAUUUUAAUCGAUUGACAUGAGUUAAAUCAGUGGUGGUGGUAGAAAUAAUAGUGUCUGGACCUUGAAUUUCUGAACCGGUUCGUUCUGAAAAAGAUAUAGUUGUCCCCUCAUGAAAAGAUAUGGUUUUCCUGUUUUUAUAUGCACAAGUUGUUUGUAUUUGGAUAACCUUUGAUCCUAGCUGAUACGCGUCCUAAUCUGGUGGGUGUUUCAGUUGUUUGAAAUGAUAAAGAAAGUUAAAGUACAUUCAACGUGAUCCUUCCAUGCGAUGUUAACUUAGAUGACAUAAUUUCAGGUACGCAUUGGUGCCAGCUUCACUAUACCUUGGUUUUAUUACAUUGAUCAUUUGGGUUGGGCAGGGUACAUACCUAACAGCUGCCCUGCCCUUAGUGACGCAAGAGAAAAUGAUUGCUUGAGGGUCCAACUUUAGGGAGCUUCAAUGUGAGUUUUGUGGAAUGUUCGCUAGCACACAGGGUUCUGAGAUAGUAUGUUAUUUGCUUCAAAGUUUUGCUGCUGAUUAGACAUAUGGAGCUUCUUCUUUGGACGGGAUAGAGUGUAUUUUGUAGUCACCCUAUGCUUACAAUUGUCUUCGGUCCAUCACAUUGAAUUGUCGUUCAAGAUUCUGCCAGGAUAAACAGUGGCCCUGCAUUUUUUAACUAUAAUAAUAAUGUUGGUAGGGAUACCAAUGGUGCUCCUCUGUUAAUGGUGCUUAUUGCCAUAUUGUCAUAUUGGAGGAAGGGCUUAUUGUCAUAUUGAAGGAAGGGCUUGAAGCUCAAUGGAAGUGAUAAUAGAUUCUGCAAAUGCUCCUCAAUAGGUUCCAGUUAGUCAUCUGGUAUUCAUAGUUCAUGGCAUUAGACAGAGGCUGGAGAAAGCUAAUCUUGUUGAUGUUGUCAAUUUUCCAUCGUGUAACCGUGUUCAAGGGCAUAUUAUCAGGCGGGGUCGAGAUCGGCAUUGUCUCCACUGUCAUAUCGUCGAGCAAAGACUGGUCCAGGAGCGCAGAAACAUGCUUCAAGAAAAAGGUUUAUGGCUAGCAACAUCUUGUUCGAUUACUUCCUGUGAUGUUUUAAUCCAUAAAAUACAGAUAGGGGUUACACUGUUCAGUUUGGUUACUUCGAUUUUGGGACUGCUUGCGAUCUUCUGUAGUGUUUAUUCUUGUUCGAUUACUUCGAUUCUAGGACUGUGAUUUUAGUUCGAUUACUUCGAUUCUGGGAUUACCAAAAUACAGAUAGGGGUUACACUGUUUACUUCGAUUCUAGGACUGCCAAAUGUCUCUACUGUUUGAAGGCGGUGUUUAUUCUUGUUUAUUAUUUACUAGAUGUCUCUGUAUGCUUGAUUAUGCAAGUAGAUUAUUCAGGUAGUACAUACAUUUUUAGUUGUAUUUAUUCUUGUUUCUAUUCGGUGCUUCAUUCAAGUCUGCAACUUUCCAAUGUCUCUGUGUGCUUGAUAGCAUAUUAUCCUAUAUUCUUGCGCAAGAAUCUUUUUGGACGCACAAGUAGUUCUAUAGAGUUUACUACAUCCUUUGAUGUUUUAAUCCAUGAAAUACAAACUUGUAUCUAUCUGUUUUGGACUGCGUUCCAGAGAAAGAAAUGUAGUUUAGUUAUGUGGUUUUACAGACCUAUAUCUAUUUGUGUAAUGCAUUUGCCUGUAUAUGUGCAGCUUAUGUCCAUAAUUCUUCAAGUCUGCAUAUGACUGCAUCAUUCUUCAGCCUUCUAGACUCCUUCCACUUCUGCCCCCUCGGAUACAAGGACUUCCCAGACUUAGGUAACACAACCUCUUCUCUUCUUUCAACAUGUUGUCAUGUGGUGCUCGAGUUAUGGUACAACUGGAGUUGGGUGAAAGCGACAUGGAGCCUUGAAGUGGAGAGUUGAGCUCAUGAAGCAGGACAAGAGAGCCAAGGUGUUGUGCCUUCAUGGCUUCUGCACGAGUGAGAGUUUUUUGAAGAGUAGAUCAACAACUGGCACUCUUCCACUCGUUAUGGAUAUGGGUAUGAGAAUCCAAUCUUAUGAUGACCAGUUACUUCAUUUAGCUGCUGACUUAGCUCAGAGGUUGUUGCCCACAUUUGACACUCCUACAGGAGGUCUCUGACAAUAACUGUGUCUAUCGGAACGAGGUGCACCACACUGCUGGGGAACGAACCCAGGUCUUGCAGGAUGUAGCUUCUGAUCCAACUCUUCCCAGAACCAAGACUGUCCGCUGCAAUCUCUGUGGGCAUGGAGAGGUUGUUUUCUUCCAGGCCGCGGCAAGAGGGGAGGAGGGGAUGACCCUGUUCUUUGUGUGCUGCAGCCCUGAUUGUGGUUAUCGGUGGAGGGAAUGAUGCGAUGAAAUCUUCGCUCUAAUAGUUGUUUCAUCAGAGCAUGAAACUUAACUUGUUUUGUAGUUUUCUUGGAACUAUGUAUUUCGAAUCUGUCCUAAGAUUAAUGAGAGAAUGUCUUUCCAAUA